CUGAAAUUUAGUUGUUUAAUUAAUUAAAGAGAGUUCAAGUACUUAAGCAACAAAGUGAUAGUUUUCCAAUACAAUGUCACCUACCAAACACAUUUGAAAUGCAACACAAUUGAGUAACCACUACUCGACUUUAAAUCAAUGCAUAUAGGGUUCAUCAACGGUUAGCCAAUUGUGUUUCGUCCACGGACCAAAAGGCAGCACCCGCGUUACGCACAUCACGUAUUAAUGCUACUAUAUAAACCAAGCCCUGGACACCCAUGGCAUACAUUGUGUAUCGCCAACCCGUGGCGAUCAGUCGCGUCACAAAAUAAUUGAAAACAGUGCACCAUGAAAGUUAUAGUGCUUCUUUCCAUCGCGGCGUUCGCCAGUGCCCAUCAGCCAGCAUCAGAACUCGUUAGAAACAUUUACAGCGAAUGUCUGAGCCAGUAUUCAGUGGAAUGUGUGAAACCGAGAGCUUUAGAAUGGAUUUCGAGAGUAGCUGAUGACGAUGAGAUCAAGAUCACUGAAGAUUUAUCUAUCGUGAAGACCGCCAUUUUGGAUGAGGAGCCUAGAGCAGCUAAGGAUGACGCGUACGCGAUUGUCGACAAAAUUGAUGGAUUUUUGCAAACUCAUAUGUUGAGAGUGAAAGUUCCUGAGGAGAUCACAAAGAGCGCAGCGUCGGAAUAUGUGCCGCGAUCUCUGCUUUCUGGCUUGCCUUCAGAACUGGACAUGCCUCUGGAUGGUGAAGAAGAUGUUGAAGUGUUCGAAGGCAGGAAGAAGAAAAUCAAGCUGCCCAAGCCUUUGAGGAUCAAGAGCAAGCAUGGUCUCAUCAAGAAGGUGUUGCUGCCUUUCCUCCUCGGUUUGAAGUUCAAGGCCUCAGUCCUGGUGCCCCUGGCCCUGGCCCUCAUAGCCCUGAAGACGUGGAAGGCCCUCACCCUUGGUCUCAUUUCCCUUGUGCUGUCGGGUGCCAUGGUCAUCUUCAAGUUCACCAAGCCGAAGGUCGUGAACUACGAAGUGAUCCACUACCCCCAGCACCACGUGGAACACCACGUCGAUCACCACGCCGGCUGGGAGCACGGGCCCUACCAACGCUCCAUCGAGGACGCGCAAGAACUGGCGUACCACGGACAGAUCUGAACGGACACUGGCGUUAUUUAUUAACUUAUUUAUUUAUUGAAACGAACUGUAAAUAAAGUAUGAUAAGAUACAAUUUAAAAAAAAA
Molecule: RNA transcript, 1201 nt
Organism: Cydia fagiglandana
Lineage: Eukaryota; Metazoa; Arthropoda; Insecta; Lepidoptera; Tortricidae
Gene: Osi18
Exons: 4
Source: RefSeq, a predicted model, not a curated record